GGGGCGGUUAGCGAUGGCAAGGAGGACCUCAGUGAGGGGCUCGAGGUGGGGGGCAGCAGGGGUGGGGAGGGGAGGGGGGAGGGUAGUGAUGGCGAUGGUAGAGAGGAUGGCCUGGUCACGGAUGGUGGUGGUGUCAGGAGAGGGGGGUUGGAAGAGGGUGUGGUGGGCAUCAAGGAGUUGGGCACGAGUGGCGGUGGGUGACAGGAUGGAGAAGGGGUAGUGGUGGUCAUCGACUGGUGUGGGGAAGAAGGCCGAGGAGGAGAGCAGGUGGCAAUGGGAGGCGGAGGGGUGGCCUUGGUCAUGGGCGUGGGGCGCGGAACAAGGCUAGGCCAAAUCCAGGCCCA
Molecule: long non-coding RNA, 344 nt
Filed under: Elaeis guineensis (African oil palm)
Lineage: Eukaryota; Viridiplantae; Streptophyta; Magnoliopsida; Arecales; Arecaceae
Description: long non-coding RNA (EGUI_LNC078902)
Source: RNAcentral